UUUUCUUCUGCUCUCUUUGCUCUUAUUCCUCCCUUUCUCUCAUGGCCUAGGGUUUCAAGGUGGAAUGCAGGCUAAAUAUUACUCACUUCAUCAACAGAUGAAAGGUGGGAAUGAGAAGAUCCAAAUGAGUUCAUCAUCAAGAAAGCUGUUGACGGGUGCAAUGUUGGAUUAUGAUGAUACAGGCGCUAAUACUAAGCACGAACCAAGGAGAAAACCUGGGAAACCCUGA
This is a long non-coding RNA of Hibiscus syriacus, 229 nucleotides long. RefSeq lists it as uncharacterized. The transcript is spliced from 3 exons. Lineage: Eukaryota; Viridiplantae; Streptophyta; Magnoliopsida; Malvales; Malvaceae. The record is from RefSeq and is a predicted model, not a curated record.